UUCCCAUACCGAACACGGAAGUUAAGCUUCUCAGCGCCGAUGGUAGUUAGGGGCUGUCCCCUUGUGAGAGUAGGACGCUGCCGGGCG
Molecule: ribosomal RNA, 87 nt
Filed under: Bacillus sp. 2_A_57_CT2
Lineage: Bacteria; Bacillati; Bacillota; Bacilli; Caryophanales; Bacillaceae
Source: RNAcentral